UUCUUAUUAAGAGAGGUGGAGGGACUGGCCCUUCGAAGCCUCAGCAACCUAAUGUGAUAUAAAGGUGCUAAAUCCUGUAGGAUAUAAAAGUCCUAAUAGAUAAGAA
Molecule: non-coding RNA, 106 nt
Filed under: Bacillus thuringiensis
Lineage: Bacteria; Bacillati; Bacillota; Bacilli; Caryophanales; Bacillaceae
Also listed under: 1 other name
Description: SAM-I sequence
Rfam family: SAM riboswitch aptamer (S box leader)
About the family: The SAM riboswitch is found upstream of a number of genes which code for proteins involved in methionine or cysteine biosynthesis in Gram-positive bacteria. The SAM riboswitch acts at the level of transcription termination control. The predicted structure consists of a complex stem-loop region followed by a single stem loop terminator region.
Source: RNAcentral